Molecule: transfer RNA, 69 nt
Filed under: Marmota monax (woodchuck)
Lineage: Eukaryota; Metazoa; Chordata; Mammalia; Rodentia; Sciuridae
Description: tRNA.Ala
Rfam family: tRNA (bases 6-64)
About the family: Transfer RNA (tRNA) molecules are approximately 80 nucleotides in length.
Source: RNAcentral
GAGAUGUAGCUCAGCGUUAGAGCACUUGCCUAGCAGGCAUGGGGCCCUGGGUUCAAUUCCCAGCUCACA